This 135-nucleotide small nucleolar RNA is filed under the name Prolemur simus (greater bamboo lemur). Its description in RNAcentral is "Small nucleolar RNA SNORA48 (ENSPSMG00000019296.1)". It matches the Rfam family "Small nucleolar RNA SNORA48". Rfam says of the family: The snoRNA ACA 48 has been identified to guide pseudouridylation of the residue U3797 in the 28S rRNA subunit. Its host gene EIF4A1 (eukaryotic translation initiation factor 4A1) is shared with U67 and snoRNA mgU6-77 Lineage: Eukaryota; Metazoa; Chordata; Mammalia; Primates; Lemuridae. The record is from Rfam by way of RNAcentral.
UGUCCCAGCCCUGAGUAGAGUGGCAUCUGGUUGGUGGUGCCCAUCUCAUAUCAGCCAGGGACAAAGCAACCCCUUGUUUAUCCUAGCUUGGCUUUUGGUCUCUGCCUAUGCCUGGUUCACGCCUUGGUCACAUGA